RNAcentral lists this ribosomal RNA (238 nucleotides) under uncultured bacterium. RNAcentral's name for it is "partial 16S ribosomal RNA". It matches the Rfam family "Bacterial small subunit ribosomal RNA", at positions 100 to 334 of the family's 1533-position model. The record is from RNAcentral.
CGGAACGGGUGAGUAACGCGUGAGGAACCUGCCUCAAAGAGGGGACGAACAGUUGGAAACGACUGCUAAUACCGCAUAAGCCCACGGCUCGGCAUCGAGCAGAGGGAAAAGGAGCAAUCCGCUUUGAGAUGGCCUCGCGUCCGAUUAGCUAGUUGGUGAGGUAACGGCCCACCAAGGCGACGAUCGGUAGCCGGACUGGGAGGUUGAACGGCCACAUUGGGACUGAGACACGGCCCAG